UUACAUGGGCAACUAGAGCGUCCGCCUGCUCGCGUACAUCCUGCCAGUGGUCUCCGCUCUGGGUUGGUCAUUCGCUCGAAGUCUGCUCGACAUAUCGCCUCCCCCAAUUUAUGUGGUCUUUCUAUUGGAUUUCUUAUGGAUUCCAUGUGUUGGUCGCUCAAGGAAUGUCCCCCAAAUUUUCUGGUCUUUCAAUUGGAUUUUCGAUUUUCCCAUAUUUUCAAUGGGCGAUGGCAAGAACUAUAGAAGAUUUGCCAAGGAUGUCUAAUAGCUGCAGGAAAAUUUUGAACUGCAUUUCUCCUAUAAGCAGCCUCCGCAGCCUACAGGCGCUAGGUGAGAGAGAAACCAAAAAUUCUGCAAGCAGAGGAUUUACAGAGAAAGUGACACAGUUUACUGAAAGUAGGUGAUGAGGUGAAAGCAUGUAAUUCUUUCACUCUACGCCAUAUUAGUUUCUCUAACUUUCUCUUUGUUUCUUUUGAUCCUG
Molecule: long non-coding RNA, 481 nt
Organism: Lolium perenne
Lineage: Eukaryota; Viridiplantae; Streptophyta; Magnoliopsida; Poales; Poaceae
Source: RefSeq, a predicted model, not a curated record